Long non-coding RNA from Macaca fascicularis (crab-eating macaque), 1946 nucleotides. NCBI's taxonomy places the organism in Eukaryota, Metazoa, Chordata, Mammalia, Primates, Cercopithecidae. The record is from Ensembl.
CAAGCAUUUGUAGCUGAACCAAACAUUAAUUGCAAUCAUAGAGUUAGGUGAUUUCUCAAUACCUUGAGAGAAGAGAAGGUAGAAUGGUGUCAGGGUCAGGUUUGAUAUUAUCCAAGUUAAAGAGGGAUUAAAAGACAGAGCCUCUGAAUGUCAUCUGUGUGCACAUAGAGACUGUAUGAAGAAGGAGAUAGAAGUCUUAUGAGGGGCAAAUGGGAGUUUUUUUGGUAAUGUCAUAUUCACAAAUGAGCAGUUCAGAGCCCUGAAGGAGAGACUGCUUUUCUCAGGAGCCACUUCCUGACUCCUGGUGGGAGCGCCCUAGUGGACCCCUUGAAACCCAGAACUCACAUAAUGAGCAUUUAGUUGAUAAUUUAAUCAGUGUCCUCUUCAAAUUUUAUGAUGUUUACUGAAUCACCCAUUUGGAAAUGUCCAGUUUCUUCUUUGAGAUUGUAAAUAAACUCAGUAAAAGUUUAACUUUCAUUUUUUUCCAUCCUUGACAAUCAGAAAAUUGCUAGGUUCAAAAAAGGUCCCAGACAUUAAACAAAAUGGUUUUUUUUUUCCUUCAUAAUAGUCUUCCCUUACUGCUGUACUAUGUGAUAAGGUUAAUAUAACAACUGCCAUAAGGAUCAUUAAUACAGGGAGAUAAGCAAAGUUGCAUGCUGGAAACAUUUGCAGGGUAUCAUUUGCCUUUUCUGCUGAUAAAGAAGCCUUCAGUAACAAAUACAGAUCACAGGCACUGAAUAUUUAACUUUUGAGACAGAAAUUCCAAUUGAUCUUUCCUAAUAUGUUAUUAUUCAUAAAUACUUUUUAAAGUUGGGUACUGACUGCUCUCAAAAUAGGAUUUUAAAAAAUUUGUAUGUUACCUACCUUUUAAAGUUUACAAUCAAACAAUUUACUUUUUAAUAUGACAAAUAUUUAUAACUUGCAAAAACAAAGAUUUCCAUGCCCCUCUCUUCAUUCUUAUUUUUCUUUUUUGAAAAUUGUCUUAAUUUCAACCAAAUUCCAAAGUAAAGAAUUUCCCUUUUAGUUAGUGAUAAUGGGAUUUGAUCUAUCAAUGAAGUGCGCAGUAUAAGGAUUUGUUUUUUAUUAUCUUGUUAACAAGUGAUUUCUUUAGUUUUGGCUCCAUUUAAAUGAAUGCAUAAAGAUAAAUGCUAGAAAUUUGCAUCACUAUAUUAAUGUUAUCCUUCACACUGAGAGCAAAAAGGGAGCCAGUAUUUGUUAUUGGUAGUAGUAUUUCAGUGAGAAGGCAAUGAGGAUAAACAAUUGAUACCAGCAAGACUUGGCUAACUAGUAUAAACCAUGACAAGGGCGAUUAAUAGUGUAUAUAAACACACUUCAAGUUUGUAUACAUGAUCUCAGCUCUCACCUAGCGAUUUCUUAGUAUUUUUUUAAAGGGUGAUUUGUAAGUUGGCAGUUACAAGGCUAUCAACUCAUGUGCUGUGUGUACUGUUUAUAUAUUAGAGGUAUGGAAUAGACAUACUGAAGUGUGAUUUACCGGAGAGAGUGUUGAUUUGGAAGGAUGUCUGGUGAAUCAGGUUGUGGCUCUGUGGCUGGCACGUACCCAAAGGCAGUUCCCAACCUCUCUGGACCUCAAUUUCCUCCUCAGUACAAUAAAAAGACUGGAUACAGAACUUUCUAAAGGUGUUCCCUAUAGCGCUAGUUCUGAAGAAUGCUAAUAAAAAAAAAAAAAAAAAGCAGGAUGGAGGUUUCCAUGGCCAGUUACGUUUUGGACACGUUGGGCUAAAUAAAGUUUAAUAUUAAUUUUUCUGCAGGACUUCUCAGUGACUUUCAUAUGGUAUUAUUCACUGUGACGCCAGGGCAGUGGCUCACACCUGUAAUACUAGCACUCUGGGAGGCCGAAGCAGGUGGAUCGCUGGAGGCUAGGAGUUUGAGACCAGCCUGGGUAAGGUGGCAAAAACCGAUCUCUACAAAGAAAAAAAAAAAAAAAA